This is a long non-coding RNA of Meriones unguiculatus (Mongolian gerbil), 2695 nucleotides long. RefSeq lists it as uncharacterized. The transcript has 2 exons. Lineage: Eukaryota; Metazoa; Chordata; Mammalia; Rodentia; Muridae. The record is from RefSeq and is a predicted model, not a curated record.
CUUGCCUGAGCCUAUCGGGCCCAGCGCGGCGUGCGGGAGCCGAGCGAGCCGGAGCAACUAUUAUCCGCUUCUCUCCGAGGGCUCUGCGCACUCGCAAAACGCGGCCUGGACUCGGCCCCCGGCGCCGCCGCCGAGCCCGGCCUGACGGGAGCGGGGGACCCCGGCCGCCGGCGCUCUCGGCCUGGAGCUGCUCAGUCCCUCAUGCCUCCGGUCUCCUUGCCAACCCGCGUUCCUGUGUUUGUUUUCACGUCUAAAGGGAGCGCUGCGAGGGUGGAAAACGAGUCUGACGAGCAGACAAAAGAGGGAGAAGGGGCUGGGAAGCAAAGUUGCGCGCUGGGCCUCAGAGGUGGCGAGGAGGCCGGUGGGGAAGGGGACCGUCCAGGCAGGCCAGCCGAGGCAAAGCCCCGUCUCUCUCUCGAGAGUUAUGUAAUUUUUUCAGAACCUUGGCCUCUCCGCCUCGAUUCCCGGCCAUCGGCGUGAUUCCCACAACUUCAUCCAACUGAGAAAUGAGGAAAGACCAAGUGAAGGUUAAACCGCAAAGACGGCUGUGCCGGGUACACAGCAGGCGCUCAAUAAUUGCUUAUGAUUCACCACUUCCAAUCCCCGAGAUGAUGUUUAAGCAACUCUUUUUAAAGGCACCUUAAGUAGCCGUGCCUAAAAGAGAAAAUGAGUCACCAAGUUCAGCUCUGGCCUGUUGUUAGAAAUUUUUUUUUUCAUGUCAAAAUCAUGAAGCUUGAAAAAAGAAAAAAAAAAUAUGUGAGUGAAAGAAGAAAGAAAUUAAGUAUGUGAGUGAAAUCUCAUUUAACUUCGAGUCAACUCAAAGAGUGGAAGCAAGAGGCAAUAAAGUAGAGGCCCCCAGCACCAGGAAAUCAACCUGCUCUAAAGGGCACCACAUGCCCGGUUCUCCUCCCCAGUGACAGAUGCCACACCCUAAAAGCAGACAGAAGGCACCACAGCACAAAGCCUGCAGGACUUGGUUAGGUCUUUGUAGCCAUGGAGAACGCUAAAGUGUCUUCUAAAACACAUCUUUGCUGAAGAUAAAUCAUGGAUUCCUCUAUUUAUUCAACUUUCCCAGCACACCUUGGGAAAAUGUAAUGAAAGCCUCUUCAGUUCCAUGUAAAGCCAGCACUUGAUAAAGAAGAUGGCAGUUGUCAGGGGUCUGGUAUAAAAUAAGGAAACGAGCUCACGUCUCACAGGAGUGUGGUUUCAGCCCUGGCUUAUUCCGUUUGCCCGGCCAUCCUACAUGGCAGUUCAGCCUUGCCUCUGUUGGUGCGACAAAGUGAUAGAAAUCGCUGCAGUGGGUUUUUCUUAAUGAGUUCCUUAAUUUUUCACCUCUCGUGCCUAAAUUUCAAACCGUAAUGACAACUGUGUUCUUGCUGUCACCACAAGGAAGCCUUAGAGGUGGAAAGCUGCUGGUGGCCUUGGCCGUGCCAUGGCCUCAGCCAGCCUCCCACCCACAGCCUUUCGUGUGUAGCCAGAGGAUUACCCAUUAUUUUGUUAAACAUGCCUUUCUAGUUACAAAAGGUUUUCUUUCUCCCCCCUAACUAUAUGGAAAUAUUAAUAUUCAAAUACUGCUCCUUUUGAAUAAGUUUUAGGGCACUGAAUAAAAGGCCCUUCAACUUACCCACUGAAAGAAAAGUGAGCCAGAUGGUAGUUUAAGAAUUCCACAGCUCUGUUCUUUUUGCCUCUCCAAGGCCCAUCGCACUGUUUGCUCGCAGAUUAGCCCUUUUUACUGUUCUCCUUAUUUACUCGGUGACUGAGGCGAUCACGAUUCACUGCCCAUCAUAUUUCUCAGUAUUCUUUCCGUAAUUUGGAAGCAAUUUGGAAUAAAGCCCUGUCAAGGUUUUACAAAUAAGAACUAUUAAAGAAUAAGGCUUUAGAUACUUGCUUUCCUUUUAGAUUUAUGAGAGAUGCGAUGAAUAGCGCUAAUGGGAUUUCCCUACUGAUCUUGGUCAGGGACUUUAAAGAGCACUAAACAAUUGUCCUAUUCACGUCUCCGAUUUAGACGUCAGCACUGAAUAACUCUGAGUCGGCGCAGGAUACUGGCUAUAUGGCUAUACGGCCACUGGAUUGGAAACAGAUAUGCAAAUUAUCUCUGGCCUGUGCGUUCAGAAUGCUAAACAAUUAUGUCUAGUCUGAUGGGGGUACUGAGAGGGACAAACAGCAAUAGGCAACAAAUAAUUUAAAGCGAUCUGGCCAGCAGCAGCAGCAGCAUUCUAUUUGUCGAGAUUAAAGCAGGCACAAUAAACAGGAUAAAUUACACUUGAUCAUUCAGCAGACUUGCUUCGAAUCUACUUGAUGCCAUCGCAUCCACAAAAAGAAAAACAUGUUACCUUGGCCCAGUUCUGAAUGAGGAUCAACUAGGAACAUUUGAACCAAAACACACUGAAUUGGGCCCUUUAACGUUCCAGAGGACCAGUGAAGAAUUGAGGUCAAAUUUUCUCACCCAAGGGCACCUGACGCCGUUGUUCAUUAUUGGAAGCCCCUACCAGGCAUCUACUCCUCCAUCUCCACAGCUCUGACAACACUGAAGACCGCCAGAUCAUCAGUAGGCCAGUACAGUUUGUCUCCAAGGGCCCUGGGAACACAGUGGCAGCGGUGAACCAUGGGGAGGAACUUCUCAGCGCAUUAUAAUGCACUGCACUUUGUCAGCUGUCUGCAUUCUGAUCCACCUGGAAUAAAUACUUUUAUUACA